This is a non-coding RNA of Vicia faba (fava bean), 237 nucleotides long. The record is from the annotation of a GenBank genome assembly. NCBI's taxonomy places the organism in Eukaryota, Viridiplantae, Streptophyta, Magnoliopsida, Fabales, Fabaceae.
AUGAAUGAGACUCUUCAACUUCACUCUUCAUUAACUCUCAGACGCGGCGGCUACCUUCCUCAUCACAUCCGGUCUCUCAACAACGUCAAAGUCACAGCGCCGCCGCCAUGGUUCACUCAGCCUUCUCUCUUCUUCAUCAUCUGCUUCGUCUUUUCACCUUUCUUUCAUCGUGAAUCAAUCGUCUAUCUCAAUAUGCUUUGGUUUCGAUUCAUCCUUCGUCGUCAUGGCCGGCUUUGA